UACAUAGGGUGCAAGCGUUGUCCGGAUUUACUGGGCGUAAAGCGCGUGUAGGUGGGAAUAUAAGUCAAACUUUAAAGGCUGAGGCUUAACUUCAGUUCGGGUUUGAUACUGUAUUUCUAGAGAUUGGGAGAGGAAAGCGGAACUAACAGUGUAGCGGUGAAAUGCGUAGAUAUUGUUAGGAACACCCGUGGCGAAGGCGGCUUUCUGGACCAAUUCUGACGCUGAGACGCGAGAGCGUGGGGAUC
Molecule: ribosomal RNA, 245 nt
Filed under: uncultured bacterium
Lineage: Bacteria
Description: partial 16S ribosomal RNA
Rfam family: Bacterial small subunit ribosomal RNA
Source: RNAcentral